CUCUCUAGCUUAGCCGUGUUCUUCUCCAUCCUCUAGGGCAACCACGAAGUGCAAGCAAGGCCAAGGAAGAAGAAGACAAGCCGUGAACACCAUCCAUCCUCCACCUUGAAGAUUGCUUUCGAAAUUCAAGAGAUCACAUCAUCACUUCAUUCAUCUCAUCUUCAUCACGGUGUGUACCCUCAAUCCCCGGAAUAGAACGAUCCCUACUUACUUUAUACUACUAAUGACAUUUCAGGGGUUAAAUUAUGCGCUUCCCAAAAGCGACAUCAAUUUUUGGCGCCGUUGCCGGGGAUUGAAAAAUCAUUUGCCAUAUUGUGAAUAUUUGUUUUGUAUAUUGUGA
Molecule: long non-coding RNA, 340 nt
Filed under: Rosa chinensis
Lineage: Eukaryota; Viridiplantae; Streptophyta; Magnoliopsida; Rosales; Rosaceae
Description: sRNA RchiOBHm_Chr0c34g0502861
Source: RNAcentral